RNAcentral lists this ribosomal RNA (382 nucleotides) under uncultured soil bacterium. RNAcentral's name for it is "bacterial SSU rRNA". It matches the Rfam family "Bacterial small subunit ribosomal RNA", at positions 26 to 410 of the family's 1533-position model. The record is from RNAcentral.
AGAUUGAACGCUGGCGGCAUGCCUUACACAUGCAAGUCGAACGGCAGCACGGGAGCAAUCCUGGUGGCGAGUGGCGAACGGGUGAGUAAUAUAUCGGAACGUGCCCAGUCGUGGGGGAUAACGCAGCGAAAGCUGUGCUAAUACCGCAUACGAUCUAUGGAUGAAAGCGGGGGAUCGCAAGACCUCGCGCGAUUGGAGCGGCCGAUAUCAGAUUAGCUAGUUGGUGGGGUAAAAGCCUACCAAGGCGACGAUCUGUAGCUGGUCUGAGAGGACGACCAGCCACACUGGAACUGAGACACGGUCCAGACUCCUACGGGAGCAGCAGUGGGGAAUUUGGACUAAGUGGGCGCAAGCCUGAUCCAGCAAUGCCGCGUGCAGGAUG